CCGGAGCCGUCGGUUGCUAUUUCGGCGCGAUGCUCGCAAGGGCCGGGAAUCUGGUAACCCUGAUAGGGCGUUCCCAGCAUGUAGAAGCGGUCAGGCGGCACGGCCUCCUGCUGGAACACCGCGAUUUCAGGGAUCACGUGCAGGUAUCCGCCACGACUGACGCCGUCGGUGUGUUGUGGACGCGGAUAUCGUUCUGUUUUGUGUGAAAUCGGCUGAUACGGAAGUUGCGGGGCGCCUGAUCGCCCCGCACUUGAAGCACGGUGCUGUGGUCUUGUGCU
This 278-nucleotide unclassified non-coding RNA is filed under the name Hevea brasiliensis (rubber tree). Lineage: Eukaryota; Viridiplantae; Streptophyta; Magnoliopsida; Malpighiales; Euphorbiaceae. The record is from RNAcentral.